RNAcentral lists this ribosomal RNA (279 nucleotides) under uncultured bacterium. RNAcentral's name for it is "partial 16S ribosomal RNA". It matches the Rfam family "Bacterial small subunit ribosomal RNA", at positions 506 to 784 of the family's 1533-position model. The record is from RNAcentral.
UGCCAGCAGCCGCGGUAAUACGGAGGGGGUUAGCGUUGUUCGGAAUUACUGGGCGUAAAGCGCACGUAGGCGGAUUGGAAAGUAGGGGGUGAAAUCCCAGGGCUCAACCUUGGAACUGCCAUCAAAACUUUUUAGCUAGAGUAUGAUAGAGGAAAGUGGAAUUUCUAGUGUAGAGGUGAAAUUCGUAGAUAUUAGAAAGAACAUUAAAAGCGAAGGCAACUUUCUGGAUCAUUACUGACACUGAGGAGCGAAAGCAUGGGUAGCGAAGAGGAUUAGAUA